GUGUCAGCCGCCGCGGUAAUACGGAGGGAGCUAGCGUUGUUCGGAAUUACUGGGCGUAAAGCGCGCGUAGGCGGACUUUCAAGUCAGGGGUGAAAUCCCGAGGCUCAACCUCGGAACUGCCUUUGAUACUGUAAGUCUUGAGUCCGAGAGAGGUGAGUGGAAUUCCUAGUGUAGAGGUGAAAUUCGUAGAUAUUAGGAAGAACACCAGUGGCGAAGGCGGCUCACUGGCUCGGUACUGACGCUGAGGUGCGAAAGCGUGGGGAGCAAACAGGAUUAGAUACCCCCGUAGUCC
Molecule: ribosomal RNA, 292 nt
Filed under: uncultured prokaryote
Description: partial 16S ribosomal RNA
Rfam family: Bacterial small subunit ribosomal RNA
Source: RNAcentral